UUGUUGGAGAGUUUGAUCCUGGCUCAGGACGAACGCUGGCGGCGUGCUUCACACAUGCAAGUCGAACGGA
RNAcentral lists this ribosomal RNA (70 nucleotides) under Glycomyces algeriensis. Its description in RNAcentral is "partial 16S ribosomal RNA". It matches the Rfam family "Bacterial small subunit ribosomal RNA", at positions 1 to 70 of the family's 1533-position model. Lineage: Bacteria; Bacillati; Actinomycetota; Actinomycetes; Glycomycetales; Glycomycetaceae. The record is from RNAcentral.